Molecule: long non-coding RNA, 990 nt
Filed under: Zostera marina
Lineage: Eukaryota; Viridiplantae; Streptophyta; Magnoliopsida; Alismatales; Zosteraceae
Description: long non-coding RNA (ZMAR_LNC002126)
Source: RNAcentral
CAGCAAAAUACUCCUGUGGAUCAGCUGGCUGGACUUUCUUUAAAUGAUGGCGUCGCAUAGAUUAUUGCUGAAUUUUGAGACUUUUCUCAUUCCGCGACUCUGUUUUGAUGGAAAAACUAUUAUUCCUAUUUCGAUUUUGUUGGUUUUAAUACCUGUUUGACUAUUAUUAUGGUUGAAAAAUACCUGGUUCUUUUUAAUUUUAAUGGAUUGCUAAGUAUUGUUCUUUUUUAUUUCUUUUCACCUGUUUAACUAUCAUUAUUUUUGGUUUGAUUUUUUUAUCAAGUUUGCUAUGAUUUUGAAAUUUCGAUUAUUCGAUAUUCUAUAUCUUAAAUUGUCAAUGUAUAUUCUUCUGAAUUUUUUGUCUAAUCUUUAACUUUAAGAUUUAAUCAAAUUAAAGCUUAAUGAAAAUAUAACAUUGAAGAUCAUUUGAGCAUCUCAAGCAUAUAAUUGAGUAGGAGCGAGGUGUCGUUCAGGAUACGUACCUCGUCGGAGACGUGGGAGCGAGAUAGUUUAUAUUCUGAAUGAAACUGUACAGAACUGACUUGAGUAUUAGUUUUAGAGAAUUAACGUUCAAACAACAAACAAACAAUAACGAAAACUGAAAUAUAUUUGCAUAGAUUGAAAGUAAAAGACGAUUAGAAUAAACCUAGAAAUAAAGGAACAACUACGAUAACAUAAUCCUCUUAACAAUAACAAUGAUACGAAACCUGGACAACCAAAACAAUAGAGUAGAAAACGCUGAGUAGACGUUGAGAACAUCGGAAGAGACUCGAAGGACGACCGACGUAACCUAGAAGUCAGAGAUGUAAGAAUGGAGAAAUGCGACUUAAAGAAAACUAACUGUAAUACCUGUAAAGCGAUGUAGCCUGUUCAACGACUUUUUCUUUAUUUAUAUCUUUAGGCAUGUUCAUGCGAUGAGAGCGCAUGAACGCCUAAGACGUCCAGGCAUUGCAUAAACAAGAGAGAAAUUCUGCACUAUCUUCCCUGUAU